ACGAGAGAAGCGGGAUUGUUUCGAAUUGUUGUACUUCCGAAGGAACGUGUGUUGCAUCUCACCCGAUUUGAGAAGUUUGACGUUUCGUGUGUGCCUCUUCGGUACAGGGCACCCCUCAGUGGGGUAAUAUCUGGCGGCUCGUGGGAAGUCGUAGUUGAAAGAUAUUCCAAAAUGCACGUCGGAUGAAUCGUGUGGUGAAGGAUUAAAAAGUGAAGAGUGUCUGUUCUUGUGUUUUUUGACACUCAAGUACAGUUAGGAUAUUUAAACUACAGAGUCAGAGCAUUCAUACCAAGACCAAUGCAGUGUGACCACUGUGAAUCUUUUGGACAUGUUUCAAGUGUUUGCAGAACGGAGAAGACAAGAUGUCCAAGUUGUGGAAAAGAUCAUGUCAUGUGUUUUAAAAAGGAUGAAAAUGUGACAUGUUGCAAUUGUGGUGGGAACCAUGAAGCCACGUCUUUGGAAUGCCCGACAAGGGUGAAAGAGAAUGAGGUGGCCAAAGUCAGGGCUGUCCAGAGCAUUUCAUAUGCAGCAGCUGUUAAAAGGGUUGAGGGUUUGAAUGGUGCACUUGAAGAGUAAUAUGGUUGUAGAUAGGCCUUCACUGCAGGCUGCAGGGGUUUCCUUUCACCAGCAGGACCCUGAUAUUUUAAAGGUUAAGAAGGUGAUUAUUGAAACUGCCAAGGUGGAGAGGAUGUCCAGGAAAAUGUAUAUCAUUGUGGAUGUGGAGGAGUUGCAUGGAGUAUUGUCACAAGCAGUACCACCCUCUGAGGCCCUAGAGCAAGAGAAGGGAGAUAUGGAGAUUUGGUUUGGAUUUGUCAGUGUACUAUUUUUAUUUGGGUGGAUUAAUGGGUUUUCUUUUUACCUUGUUUUUCAACCCAUCCAGUUGGCGGCGGAAAAAAUAGACCUUUUUCGGUUGUAGUUCGCCAUAAAACCAACAGAAGAAGAAGAGGAGUCACAGAAACGAUCGCGAACAAAACCUGUCCUGUGGCUCCCUCUCCUGGAUCAAGAGAGAACGACUCAAUCUUCAUGCCGACCACAACACGGCUCAUAUCAAGGUUGACAGAUAUCACGGGUUUAGUGUCGUCUUUCACGCCUCGUCGGCCUUUAUAUGCAACUUAAUACAUAUUUAAACCUCCCUCAGUAUGUGUGAACGCUGCAGGUGUCACUCAGGAUGAUUUCUCCCUGAAAAUGGAGGACGAGGACUUUGGCAAGGUUACCCAAGUCAUCUAAAGGCUACAUUUCUCCUGACUAAGGCUGUUGGAAAGGCUCUGGUUGCCAGUGGAGCUCCUAAACGCUCCAUCAUUGCUGUGGGCAGCAUUGUGGGUGGACAAUAUAGAACAGGCGAACUACUCGCCUGUUCUAUACAGGCUUCCAAAGCAGUUGUGGAGGGCCUGACCAGAACUGCAGCCAACUAGCUGAGCAGCUUACGUCCAUGGUGCCGCUGGGGAGGAUGGGAGAGCCUGCAGAGAGGAAGCUGAUGGAUCCUAACACACAUUCCCAGUAGAGGACUCUGGCUACAUCACUGGAAACAGUGUUGAAGUAGCAGAGGCCUUUUCAUUGGCUGAGACAACUUUCCGUCAUCCUCAUGAAGAUCCCAUCUAGGUCCAGUAAUUGUAUAUGUAUUCAACGUUCACACUGUGCCUUCGCUUGUGAUAAUACAACCGAUUGGGGAUCAAUCUUGUUUUGUAAAUCUAGUCAAUAUCUUAGUGUAAAUGUGAUUGUGCAAUAAAUUAAAACCUGUGUAACUUUUGUUGUGGCGAGAGUUCACGAGACAGAGUUGAGUGCUUUCCCAAUUUAACAGAGUUACGUCUCUUAACCCUCUACAUUUAUGUGAGAUUACUGUUUCGCGAGUGAAACUUAUACCAGUCGUUACUAACACGGUUGGAUUUAGAUGUUUGAAAACAGGAAAGACCGACGCCACACAUACAAAGACACACGAAUACAGUGUGCACACAGAGAAAAUGCGUUGGCAUGUGGUUUAAUUGGAGACGUUGAACAGAAAACAACAAGCCAAGAACAAUGAAACAGUGAAACGAAAGCAAAACAAAAACUAACAGAAAACAGAGAAGGAAAACAACACUGAGCACUGGACAGUAGAGGGGAAAAGAGAGGGUGCCAGCCAUAGAUCAGAACCAAACAGGUGUAAACACUAGAAGUGAUUUUUUUUUUGGGGGGGGGGGCUGGUGAGGUGAUAUAGUGGAAAUAAGGUUGGGAUCUGACUGAUUCUGGUGGUCAGUUCACUGGAGAUUGUGAAUGAUGUGGUUAUAUUCAGCUGUCUGAGCUGCUGUAUGCAGAAUGAAGAGAGAAAUAAAAUAAUGACUAGUUAUUGUGUAGCUCUGGGUAACAUGCAACACCAGCCAGUUGAGAGAGGAUGAAACAAAGGAACGAGGAAAAAAACACAAGGGAGUCAAGAAGCUAUUUUUAAAAAGAUGAUAUAUUACAGAAACAAAACAUUUAAAAUUACUUACAUUAUAAAAUAAUACUUUUUGUCUUUUCAGCACCAUAUUUUGUUGAAAUAUUUGUUUGUCUUUAACAACAACAAAAAACAAUCAAUGUAAUUUUCUCUCGCGAAUCACCUCAGGUUUUAGUUUGUCAAUCCCCCCCCCCUUCUCUGCAAUGUCAAAAGAAAAACGAACCAAAACACACAAACCAAAAUACC
This is a long non-coding RNA of Oncorhynchus tshawytscha (Chinook salmon), 2656 nucleotides long. RefSeq lists it as uncharacterized. The transcript has 7 exons. The record is from RefSeq and is a predicted model, not a curated record. NCBI's taxonomy places the organism in Eukaryota, Metazoa, Chordata, Actinopteri, Salmoniformes, Salmonidae.